CCUGGCUUAGGACGAACGCUGGCGGCGUGCCUAAUACAUGCAAGUCGAACGGUCUUUCUUAUGGAAGCUUGCUUUCACUGAGAAGAAGUAUGGGCGGACGGGGUGAGGUAACACGUGGGGUAACCUGCCCAUAAGAGGGGGGAUAACAUCCGGAAACGGGUGCUAAUACCGCAUAGUUUUCUUGAUCGCAUGAUCGGGAAAGGAAAGACGGCCUUUGUGCUGUCGCUUAUGGAUGGACCCGCGGCGUAUUAGUUAGUUGGUGAGGUAACGGCUCACCAAGACGAUGAUACGUAGCCGACCUGAGAGGGUGAUCGGCCACAUUGGGACUGAGACACGGCCCAAACUCCAACGGGAGGCAGCAGUAGGGAAUCUUCCGCAAUGGACGAAAGUCUGACGGAGCAACGCCGCGUGAGUGAAGUAAAAGGGUUUUCGGAUCGUAAAACUCUGUUGUCAGAGAAGAACAAGUUGGAGAGUAACUGCUCCAGCCCUGACGGUAUCUGACCAGAAAGCCACGGCUAACUACGUGCCAGCCGCCGC
Molecule: ribosomal RNA, 537 nt
Filed under: uncultured bacterium
Lineage: Bacteria
Description: bacterial SSU rRNA
Rfam family: Bacterial small subunit ribosomal RNA
Source: RNAcentral